RNAcentral lists this ribosomal RNA (301 nucleotides) under uncultured bacterium. Its description in RNAcentral is "partial 16S ribosomal RNA". It matches the Rfam family "Bacterial small subunit ribosomal RNA", at positions 509 to 807 of the family's 1533-position model. The record is from RNAcentral.
CAGCAGCCGCGGGAAUACGUAGGGUGCAAGCGUUAAUCGGAAUUACUGGGCGUAAAGCGUGCGCAGGCGGUUAUAUAAGUCAGAUGUGAAAUCCCCGGGCUCAACCUGGGAACUGCAUUUGAGACUGUAUGGCUAGAGUGUGUCAGAGGGGGGUAGAAUCCCACGUGUAGCAGUGAAAUGCGUAGAUAUGUGGAGGAAUACCGAUGGCGAAGGCAGCCCCCUGGGAUAACACUGACGCUCAUGCACGAAAGCGUGGGGAGCAAACAGGAUUAGAUACCCCCGUAGUCCCUGUCUCUUAUAC